This is a non-coding RNA of Lepisosteus oculatus (spotted gar), 2143 nucleotides long. The record is from RefSeq and is a predicted model, not a curated record. NCBI's taxonomy places the organism in Eukaryota, Metazoa, Chordata, Actinopteri, Semionotiformes, Lepisosteidae.
AAGAUUGGACACCCCUGCUCUACAGUAGAACACACAGACGUGGUCCAGUUGGGUUGUGCUCUAACCUGUAUUUCUCUCUCUCUCUCACAUGGUCCUGCUCUGUCCACCCUGCAGAGGAGAGUAAGUACUGUUGACAUGAGUGUUGUGCUGUCCUGUCCCUGUGUGAUGUGUGAUAUUAUUAGUAUUAAACACUGAGGUACAGAUGUGUAAAACUGUCCUUUUCUAGCUGUGUGCUUGCUGCUCAGGGUUGUGUAGUUUGGGGUGUGAUGUGUAAAAGGUGAAGUAUUAUUCCUGCACAAUUCAGGCAGUGUCCUGGGGGAGCGACAGUCUGGGGUGUCAGGUGAGAGCUGGCCAGGCUCUGUUAUCUGUGUCUUCAGUGUCGCAGUGGAAAACAGCCUCAGGACCAGUUUUCUCUCAGUGUCACAGUGCUGUGUGUCUGUUAGCACUUCCAGUGUCAGUCAGGUUUAGGAUGUUACCAGAUUCCUGCAACAAGAGUAAACCUUAGUUUUUUAUCCUUUAUUAAUAGAUAAAAAGCCCAUAAGAUUUCUCCAGAGCUUUCUUCUGUCUCAUUGUCUGUUUUCAGUCUGUGAUGCUUCAUAAUGAACACUUUACUGUGUCAAUGGGACAGAGUGAGUCGUCAUUUUAACACAGCGAGGACUUGUCACUUUCUGAGUUAAUUUGAUUAGAAACGGACUGCAUGGUGUAGUAAGUUGAUCUGCCUUCUUAUAGUAAGAGCCUCCCUCCCUGGGAGAAUCAGGGCUGGUGGAAACGACUGUAGCAGGACUGGCUUUUGUGAAGGAUCUGAGCUGGGACAUCUGACGGUUGUAUGAAGGAGGGACAACAGUGUACUUCUGCAAAUCCUUUGACUACAGUUGAGAAGUUUUGCAGCGGGCCCUGGACCCACAGGCUGGGCCGUGGCUGAGGAAAGGGCAAUUGAUGUAAUUCCAUGAGUCCCUGGCAGCCAGGGUGAUUGUAAGUCGGUCAGUUGCCUUCACUAGUACCAGGAAAUAGUAUCAUGUGGUUAAAAUAUUGUUGUUGUUAUUAAUUCUAAAACUUUAGAUAUAGACGCAGCAAUGGAAUAUUGAGAUGUGCUAGUUAAAGCCUCUUUGUAAGAACAUGCAGUGGCUUGCUAGUGUUCGCCUUUUAAGGCUACAACCGCAACUGUUCUGAUUAGGGUCUGAUCCUGAUCACUCAAAUGCACAGAAGAUACUGGCAUUAAAAGCAAAAUCAACCGCUGCCCUCCUGGGCAAACAGAGGAACAGAGUUGCAGAAUUGUUACUCUCACAACGGUAACAGACGCUUGAACCAGACUUAGUCCAGACUGGAGUGGGACCGGGGAAACAGGGACCUGCAAAGGGGCACCUCUCUGGGUUUUUGCUCAAGGCCUGCCCACGUGAUUACAAUACAAAUACCAGUGUUGUAACUGUACUGGUCCAGUGCUACCAUUCUGUUCCAUACAAUUUAAAGUAGUAGGUUGUACUGAGAAAGUAUUGGAGCCUGAAGCAGCGUGCAUGAGAUGAGCUCUCCUGGUCAGAGUGUUGUGUGCGAUGUGCCCUAGCCCAUCUGUGUGGCACUGGAAACUUUGUGCUUGUGGAACUCCCACAGCUGGACUGUAAGGAAAAGUUCAGAGGUGUUUUCAUCUCACCACUGGUGGACAUCAGCCAACUUCCCAAAGUCCCAGCAAUUCAGAGGGCCUGGGUUCUGAGACACUAGAAAACCCCUUUCUGCCUCUCAUCGCUGAUGAUUCUGACACUGCAAAAAGCAGUUUUAGCUACAGCGUAUCGUAAUCAAGCCCAAGUAUAGUACAGUACAUCAGCUGAAGAGGACCACGACGCUGUCGAGGACUUUGCUGCAGGGUCCCAAGGGAACAUGGUGGAGUGUUUGUGUGGGGAGGGUUGAGUUUUUGCUUUCUAACGUGUCUUUAUCUUCCGUUUCUUCCCUGUCAAGUGAAAUCAAGGGUGAAGAACAACAGGGAGAGAAGAGGGAGAGGAGGGAUGCCCGAACUCUCGCCGCAGUAUCGGGGACUGAGGGAUGGGAAAUUUAUCUAUGCAUUCAUGAAGUAAUAUUAGAUUGUUUUUUAAACUCAUUGAUUUUUAAACUCAGGGGAGCUGUAACUGAAAUAGAUGUACGUUUUUUAUGCAAA